Molecule: transfer RNA, 73 nt
Filed under: Dipodomys ordii (Ord's kangaroo rat)
Lineage: Eukaryota; Metazoa; Chordata; Mammalia; Rodentia; Heteromyidae
Rfam family: tRNA
About the family: Transfer RNA (tRNA) molecules are approximately 80 nucleotides in length.
Source: Rfam by way of RNAcentral
GGAGGCAUGGCUCAAGUGAUAGAGCAUUUGUCUAGCAAACAAAAGACACUGAGUUCAAACCCCAAUCCCACAA